ACAUUUUCACAUAACCUGUUGACCCCAACUUGCUAAUCUCACAGUUGAAUCUUUGCAGAGGCGUUAUGAAAUGAGGAUCAUGCCGUUUUGGCUGUGUGGGGGUGCUGAAUGUCUGAUUUGACACAGAACUAC
Long non-coding RNA from Etheostoma cragini (Arkansas darter), 132 nucleotides. RefSeq lists it as uncharacterized. The record is from RefSeq and is a predicted model, not a curated record. The transcript has 3 exons. Lineage: Eukaryota; Metazoa; Chordata; Actinopteri; Perciformes; Percidae.